CUCUCCUUUCUCAUUUCCGGCCACUUCCUUUAAGGUGCUGAUGCUUAAGCCACAUGGACAAUUCAUGAAUUGUUUGGUUGAAGUUUACAGAGCUUGUGAACAGCAGAGCCAGGCCGGAUGGAGCCUGCAUGAUCCUUGUGCUGAUGCUCUAGGUUCUCACCGCCACACUCACCAAAGCAUCAAGAGGAAAUGAAUGAAGAUGGUGUAGCAGAAAGGUGUCUUCAUCUAUGAAAUGUUUUGAGAUGACCCCUUCAUUCUAACAGACUUUCUGACACAACAACUGGCACUGAGCUGAGCACACAGUUGGAGCUUUGAGAAGGCACAAGGUCAGAUGCUGGGCUCAAAGGUGUGCUUCCCAGAUGGAUAAAGGCUCUGCGGGGAUAAAGUAGUUGUCAUCUGAUGGCAAUACUAAAUGUGCUUCCCCUCUCCCAUGGCUCCCUUUUCUUUGACCACAGACACACCCUCAGAGUUUCCUUCCUCUGACAUUCCUGGCUCUGGCAUUUUCUGGGGUUGCCAUGUCUGACAGUUAUCACAGCCCUAACUACAACUCUACUGCAUCCUCCCUACAACGAACCAACUCUUACCUUGUAUCCCUUUUAGCCUCUGGAGUUGGCUAGAUAUUUGCAUCUCUGGGUUGAGAGCUGAUCUGGUCUUCCCUGGCUACAGGGUUAAAACAGGACACUUAUGACUAGCUGGUAUGGGGGUGCUCUCUUUCCUUGAGACCAAGGAUGGUGUAUUAUAGUUUGCUACAGCUGCCACAACCUGGGUGGCUUAAACAGCAGAAAUUUACCAUCUUGAAGUUCUGGAGACCAGAAGUCUAGAAUCGAGG
This 829-nucleotide long non-coding RNA is filed under the name Felis catus (domestic cat). RNAcentral describes it as "lncRNA (ENSFCAG00000041719.2)". The record is from RNAcentral. Lineage: Eukaryota; Metazoa; Chordata; Mammalia; Carnivora; Felidae.